This 25-nucleotide non-coding RNA is filed under the name Rattus norvegicus (Norway rat). The record is from RNAcentral. Lineage: Eukaryota; Metazoa; Chordata; Mammalia; Rodentia; Muridae.
UGGUUUCAAGUCUGGGCUAAUGGGC